This is a non-coding RNA of Crucibulum laeve, 100 nucleotides long. NCBI's taxonomy places the organism in Eukaryota, Fungi, Basidiomycota, Agaricomycetes, Agaricales, Nidulariaceae. The record is from the annotation of a GenBank genome assembly.
UCCCUGGUAGUAUAUCGGUUAGUACACGCGCCUGUCAUGUAAAGUAAUUGGACCGAUAUCAGGUGCGCGCGAAAGCUGGGUUCGACUCCCAGCCAGGGAG